This is a non-coding RNA of Erinaceus europaeus (western European hedgehog), 129 nucleotides long. Lineage: Eukaryota; Metazoa; Chordata; Mammalia; Eulipotyphla; Erinaceidae. The record is from Rfam.
CAACUAAAGGCACCUUUGCCCAUAUCAUGUGGGACUUUGACAAGCUCGGAGGUUUCUGAGGGUAAUCCACUCUGAAUGGGAUCAGGUCAGUCAUUUACUUUGUAUGCACAGACUAUUAAAAAUACUCUA